Molecule: transfer RNA, 77 nt
Filed under: Zootermopsis nevadensis
Lineage: Eukaryota; Metazoa; Arthropoda; Insecta; Blattodea; Termopsidae
Rfam family: tRNA
About the family: Transfer RNA (tRNA) molecules are approximately 80 nucleotides in length. Their secondary structure includes four short double-helical elements and three loops (D, anti-codon, and T loops).
Source: Rfam by way of RNAcentral
GCCACGGUGGUCUAGCGGUUAGAACGCUGGCCUUGUAAUCCUGGGGGGGGUCUCGGGUUCGAUUCCCGGCAGUGCCC